Molecule: long non-coding RNA, 519 nt
Organism: Mustela erminea (ermine)
Lineage: Eukaryota; Metazoa; Chordata; Mammalia; Carnivora; Mustelidae
Exons: 3
Source: RefSeq, a predicted model, not a curated record
UAUACCUAUUUUGGAAAACAGAGAGGGGCGUGAAGAAGAAAGUAGCAUUUAUCCAUAAAGCUGCCACCAGAGAGAACCACUGUUUGCACAUGCCGGCCUCACGUCUGCCAUUCAGUAAUGAGUACCCGGGUCACCCUUGUCUGUAUGUGCUGUGGGACACAGUGGGGAGAACCUCUGUUUAUACCAGAUAAAUUGUGUCAAAUUCCCUGAAAACUAGAAAUAAAAAUUAUCUCAAAGCCUACUUAUUGAAGUUCCUGUGGCUGGGGCCUUUACACCUUAACCAUGGGUUCUAUCCUCUGCCAGACCAAGCCCUGGGAAGACAUGGUCAAGGGGACAUUGCUGGAAUGGGACAGACACCUCCAAAAAACAGGAGGUACACUAACCAGGAAAUGAAGCGGUUUUACAGAAAGACUCCCCCUGUGCCAUUGGUGGCUACUCAGAAUUGAAACUACCUUCACGGGAUGCCUGGGUGACUCAGUGGGUUUAAGCAUCUGCCUUCAGCUCACGUCAUGAUUCCAA